RNAcentral lists this ribosomal RNA (778 nucleotides) under uncultured Neocallimastigales. Its description in RNAcentral is "partial large subunit ribosomal RNA". It matches the Rfam family "Eukaryotic large subunit ribosomal RNA", at positions 26 to 644 of the family's 3401-position model. The record is from RNAcentral. Lineage: Eukaryota; Fungi; Neocallimastigomycota; Neocallimastigomycetes; Neocallimastigales.
CGUCUAUAUACGUAUAGCAUAUCAAUAAGCGGAGGAAAAGAAACUAACUAGGAUUCCCCUAGUAACGGCGAGUGAAGCGGGAAGAGCUCAAAUUUGAAAUCUUCAAGGUUUUACCUUGACGAAUUGUAGUUUAAAGAAGUGUUUUCUGUUAGAGGAGUGGUAAAAGUUCUUUGGAAUAGGACAUCAUAGAGGGUGAGAAUCCCGUAUUUGACCAUUCUUUCUAGCUUUGUGAUACACUUUCAAAGAGUCGGAUUGUUUGGGAAUGCAGUCCAAAAUGGGUGGUAAAUUUCAUCUAAAGCUAAAUAUUGGCGAGAGACCGAUAGCGAACAAGUACCGUGAGGGAAAGAUGAAAAGAACUUUGAAAAGGAGAGUUAAACAGUACGUGAAAUUGUCAAAAGGGAAGCGUUUGACACCAGUGUUGUUUUUCCGAAAAUCAAUUAAAAAAGGCCGGAUUUUGUGUUGUAUUGACUUUAUCAGCUUUCUGCACUUUUUUCUUGUCUUUUUUAAUGCACUUUUCGUUUAACAAGUCAACAUCAAUUUCUUUUGUUGUAAAAGGGGUCAUUGGAAGGUGGCUUUCUUUUCGGAGAAAGUGUUUAUAGCCUUUGGCCUCUGCAAUCGGAGAGAUUGAGGUCUGCAGCGUAGAUCCUUCGGGGUUAGAUACAUUUGUGCUAAGUUAUAGCCUUUCAUAGACAACUUGUUGACUAUGAUUUAGUCAUUGUAGCUUACUCGCUUAUGCUAUUUUACCUACGCUUAGGAUGUUGACUGAUAUGUAGUCGUA